Coffea arabica (coffee) is the source of this 354-nucleotide non-coding RNA. The record is from RefSeq and is a predicted model, not a curated record. NCBI's taxonomy places the organism in Eukaryota, Viridiplantae, Streptophyta, Magnoliopsida, Gentianales, Rubiaceae.
AAAAAUUUAGCUCUGCAACUCCAAACAGUUUGAAAAUUCCACGCUUUAUUGAUCACUUCAUCAAUGGUACCAAGACUCCCAUGUUGCUUAUCAAUACUGGAAACAAAAAUGCUCAGAUAGGUGUAAAACAUAAACGCUUUCACCAAAACUGGAGAGAUUUCAUUCUUGAGCAUCGACUGCAACACAACGAAACUCUUGUUUUUGUUCCGGAAUAUGAAAAUAUAUUUACAGUUUUAGUUUUCGACGAUACUGGAGUUGAAAAGAUUUUUCCUUGGUAUCACACAUUCAAUAUUUAUUCAAAUGCCUAAUGAAUUUAGCUGGACUAUGCUGUGUAAUCUACCUAUGAAUUAAAUA